RNAcentral lists this ribosomal RNA (353 nucleotides) under uncultured bacterium. RNAcentral's name for it is "bacterial SSU rRNA". It matches the Rfam family "Bacterial small subunit ribosomal RNA", at positions 28 to 387 of the family's 1533-position model. The record is from RNAcentral.
GACGAACGCUGGCGGCGUGCUUAACACAUGCAAGUCGAACGAUGAAGCCUUCGGGUGGAUUAGCGGCGAACGGGUGAGUAACACGUGGGCAAUCUGCCCUGUACUUUGGGAUAAGCCUUGGAAACGGGGUCUAAUACCGGAUAUCACUUCUGACCGCAUGGUUGGUUGUUGAAAGUUCUGGCGGUACAGGAUGAGCCCGCGGCCUAUCAGCUUGUUGGUGGGGUAAUGGCCUACCAAGGCGACGACGGGUAGCCGGCCUGAGAGGAUGACCGGCCACACUGGGGACUGAGACACGGCCCAGACUCCUACGGGAGGCAGCAGUGGGGAAUAUUGCACAAUGGCGAAAGCCUGAU